UGCUUUUUGCAGUGGCAGUAUCAUAGCCAAUGAGGUUUAGCCAAGGUGUGGAUAUUGCUAAUUGGAAACUUUUCCCAAUACCCCGCCCCGAAGACUUGCAAUAUAGUCAGCAUUGGCAAUUUUUGACAGUCUAUGAAGAC
Molecule: small nuclear RNA, 140 nt
Organism: Gorilla gorilla gorilla (western lowland gorilla)
Lineage: Eukaryota; Metazoa; Chordata; Mammalia; Primates; Hominidae
Gene: U4
Rfam family: U4 spliceosomal RNA
About the family: U4 small nuclear RNA (U4 snRNA) is a component of the major U2-dependent spliceosome. The structure of U4 snRNA from yeast and human has been reported.
Source: Ensembl